RNAcentral lists this small RNA (1832 nucleotides) under Rattus norvegicus (Norway rat). RNAcentral describes it as "uncharacterized LOC102548278". Lineage: Eukaryota; Metazoa; Chordata; Mammalia; Rodentia; Muridae. The record is from RNAcentral.
UUCCUUUAAUUAUUUUUGCUAUGUGGCCCAGGAUUCUGUAUUCUAAGAAACUCUAACCAUAACUCUUAACCAUAUGGUUGUCCUGACAAGAUCUGCAUGAUGACAACCCAAGACGCUGUUGCAACAUUAUCAGAGGAAGUCUCACAAGAGCACUACAAGAAAUGUUAGAGGCAGUGAAAAAUUGCCAAAAGAGGUUAAAUGAGUGUACUCUAGGGAUGAACCCUGUAAUGGUGGUCAGUCCGUCCUAAAAACGUUUACAUAAAAAGUGCUGACUGGGCAUAACUGAUGCUUUUAGCUAUUUAUCUUUACUUCAGUACUUACCCAGCCAUACUGAGAGAUCUUUAAACUUGGCUUUCUGUACCAUGUUGCCAAUAUUUCAUUUUCUCUCACUAAUAAACAAAUUCUGUCUUUCUUAGAACGUAAGAGCUGUGCAACUGACACAUCUGGAAUUCUGGAGGAUCAUGGAAUACACAGCUCUUCUUGAUGGGGACACGAACUUCAUUAGAAAUAACUUCGGCUUUCAGGAAGCAAACAUUACACACCCACCUCCUCCACUGGGAAAACUGAGGCUCACUGUGUGCUCACAGCCACGUCCAGGUGCAGUGUUUUCUGCCUGAGGUGAUGACAUUAGUCUUUAAUGUACAGGUAUUCUAGUAAUGCACGUAGGUAAAAGAAAUGGGCCUUGCAUGUCUUCAGUACCUCUGGCUGCCUGGGGCUCAAAGGGCUCUGGGUGAGGCACUUGUGGUGCAUUAUAUUUGAGCAGCAAAGGCUUCUGGGUGAGGCAGUUGGCGUGCAUUAUAUUUGAGCGCAAAGGCUUCUGGGUGAGGCAGUUGGCGUGCAUUGUAUUUGAGCGCAAAGGCUUCUGGGUAAAGCAGUUAACGAGCUUUGCUGUUGCUCCUGCGCAAAGGCCUCUGGAUGAAGCAGUUGGUGUGCGGUGCUGCUGCCUGUACUUGGAGGACUCCUCUGGACUCCUGGGCUGUGCGCUCGGGGAGACGGUUGUUUCAGCCAUUAGGCUCAGGCAGAAGAGUUCAUCUGUUGCUGCAAGUUCCCAAGUCUGUCUUCUGUGGGUCUCAGCUGUCAUCUGUGGGUCUGACCAUCUGCUGGUCUUGGAAGCCUUCAGUCAGAUGUAUCUGGACCAAGUGAUUUGGUUGCAAGAGGCCAGGACUCCUGCCAUCUUGGAAGCCUCUCCAUUACCUGUUCACACGACACACGGAGCAUCCUUUGUGCCCUGAAGAAAACUCUGACCCCUCAACAGAAUAUGAAUGGCAGGGCAGAAAUACAAGUUGAGGCUACAUAAGUCAGUGCUUUGGGAACAGUUGUCAAGGCCCUGGUGAAACUCUCCACACCCAAUGACAAGUAGGUUUUUGAAGACACUGGGAUAAGGCGACUUCAGAGAGUAUUGACAGUAUUUCAAAAGGACUCAAAACCUAAUCCUGUAAAAAAAAAAGUGUCAACCCUAUUUCCACCUGUUUCUUGAGGAAGAAGGUGCAAACCUCUCACCACAGCACCCAGGAUUCUGAGCAGGAGGGUCAGCAGUUGUUCCUGUGUGUCACACUCUUGGUAACACUUCUGCCUAUGAAAUUAAACUCAGCUCUCUGAGGACUCAGUGGCUGAUCUUCUCUCAAACAUAGACUGCCUAAGAUAAGAAAUCAUUCAGCUUUCAAUAUCUCAAAAUUUUGACAGGAUAUCUCCAUAUUUCACUGCUGUUCUUAUCCAGGAUCAAGCUUGGAACCAGCUCCCGCUCUGACUUCAGCUGUCAAACACUGCAGACUUCACCUUGACUCUACUCAACGCACAGCGUGUGCCUCACCUUUCAUGCAGUCAGACACCCC